UCGAGAGCAGGUCUGGAAUUCCGCUAGUUCUGAACUAUUCAUGUUUGGUAAAAGUUCACUACUAGCAGAACUCAGAUUUGCUCCCGA
Molecule: non-coding RNA, 87 nt
Organism: Tetraodon nigroviridis (spotted green pufferfish)
Lineage: Eukaryota; Metazoa; Chordata; Actinopteri; Tetraodontiformes; Tetraodontidae
Source: Rfam